GUCCACGCCGUAAACGUUGGGUACUAGGUGUGGCGUCCCGAUCAACGGAUGCCGUGCCGAAGCUAACGCAUUAAGUACCCCGCCUGGGGAGUACGGCCGCAAGGCUAAAACUCAAAGGAAUUGACGGGUCCCCGCACAAGCGGCGGAGCAUGCGGCUUAAUUCGAUGCAACCCGAAGAACCUUACCUGGACUUGACAUCAUGGGAAAAGCCGUAGAAAUACGGUGUCCGUAAGGGCCCAUGACAGGUGGUGCAUGGCUGUCGU
This 263-nucleotide ribosomal RNA is filed under the name uncultured bacterium. RNAcentral describes it as "partial 16S ribosomal RNA". It matches the Rfam family "Bacterial small subunit ribosomal RNA", at positions 793 to 1055 of the family's 1533-position model. The record is from RNAcentral.